Molecule: long non-coding RNA, 1540 nt
Filed under: Homo sapiens (human)
Lineage: Eukaryota; Metazoa; Chordata; Mammalia; Primates; Hominidae
Description: HSALNT0083127
Source: RNAcentral
AGAAGCCUCAUGUGGGGAACAACAUACUCCUGGAAAGCCUGGGCUUCCCGUCUCGGGUUCUGGAAAGUCCAGGCUUCCCGUCUCGGGUUCUGGAAAGCCUGGGCUUCCCAUCUUGGGUUCUGGAAAGCCUGGGCUUCCUCUCUAGGGUUCUGGAAAGUCCGGGCUUCCCCGUCUCGGGUUCUGGGGAAGUCCGGGCUUCCCGUCUCAGGUUCUGGAAAGUCCGGGCUUCCCGUCUCGGGUUCUGGAAAGUCCGGGCUUCCUCUCUAGGGUUCUGGAAAGCCUGGGCUUCCUCUCUAGGGUUCUGGAAAGUCCGGGCUUCCCCGUCUCGGGUUCUGGAAAGCCUGGGCUUCCUCUCUAGGGUUCUGGAAAGUCCGGGCUUCCCGUCUCGGGUUCUGGAAAGUCCAGGCUUCCCGUCUCGGGUUCUGGAAAGUCCAGGCUUCCCGUCUCGGGUUCUGGAAAGCCUGGGCUUCCCAUCUUGGGUUCUGGAAAGCCUGGGCUUCCUCUCUAGGGUUCUGGAAAGUCCGGGCUUCCCCGUCUCGGGUUCUGGGGAAGUCCGGGCUUCCCGUCUCAGGUUCUGGAAAGUCCGGGCUUCCUGUCUCGGGUUCUGGAAAGUCCGGGCUUCCUCUCUAGGGUUCUGGAAAGCCUGGGCUUCCUCUCUAGGGUUCUGGAAAGUCCGGGCUUCCCCGUCUCGGGUUCUGGAAAGCCUGGGCUUCCUCUCUAGGGUUCUGGAAAGUCCGGGCUUCCCAUCUCGGGUUCUGGAAAGCCUGGGCUUCCCAUCUCAGGUUCUGGAAAGUCCAGGCUUCCCGUCUUGGGUUCUGGAAAGCCUGGGCUUCCCGUCUCAGGUUCUGGAAAGUCCAGGCUUCCCGUCUUGGGUUCUGGAAAGCCUGGGCUUCCCGUCUCGGGUUCUGGAAAGUCCAGGCUUCCCGUCUCGGGUUCUGGAAAGCCUGGGCUUCCCGUCUCGGGUUCUGGAAAGCCUGGGCUUCCCGUCUCGGGUUCUGGAAAGCCUGGGCUUCCUCUCUAGGGUUCUGGAAAGUCCGGGCUUCCCAUCUCAGGUUCUGGAAAGCCUGGGCUUCCCGUCUCAGGUUCUGGAAAGUCCAGGCUUCCCGUCUUGGGUUCUGGAAAGCCUGGGCUUCCUCUCUAGGGUUCUGGAAAGUCCGGGCUUCCCCAUCUCGGGUUCUGGGAAGUCCAGGCUUCCCGUCUCGGGUUCUGGAAAGUCCGGGCUUCCUCUCUAGGGUUCUGGAAAGCCUGGGCUUCCUCUCUAGGGCUCUGGAAAGCCUGGGCUUCCUGUCUUGGGUUCUGGAAAGCCUGGGCUUCCCGUCUCGGGUUCUGGAAAGUCCGGGCUUCCCGUCUCGGGUUCUGGAGCAGGUCUCGUGUACCCUGCCAGGGGUCCUUUUCCCUCAACCCCCUGGGGCAGGUCCGAGGCAGCCUCUCAUCAGAGAAGGAUACACAGAGGGGGAAGUUACCGCCCAGCUACCACUCCCUUCUUAACACAGCAAGUUCCCCAUACAUGCUGCCAGGAGGUCAUGAAAAUAAAUCCAUA